ACGAACGCUGGCGGCAUGCCUAACACAUGCAAGUCGAACGAUGCUUUCGGGCAUAGUGGCGCACGGGUGCGUAACGCGUGGGAAUCUGCCCUUGGGUUCGGAAUAACAGUGAGAAAUUGCUGCUAAUACCGGAUGAUGUCUUCGGACCAAAGAUUUAUCGCCCAGGGAUGAGCCCGCGUAGGAUUAGCUAGUUGGUGGGGUAAUGGCCUACCAAGGCGACGAUCCUUAGCUGGUCUGAGAGGAUGAUCAGCCACACUGGGACUGAGACACGGCCCAGACUCCUACGGGAAGCAGCAGUGGGGAAUAUUGGACAAUGGGCGCAAGCCUGAUCCAGCAAUGCCGCGUGAGUGAUGAAGGCCUUAGGGUUGUAAAGCUCUUUUACCCGGGAUGAUAAUGACAGUACCGGGAGAAUAAGCUCCGGCUAACUCCGUG
RNAcentral lists this ribosomal RNA (432 nucleotides) under uncultured bacterium. RNAcentral's name for it is "partial 16S ribosomal RNA". It matches the Rfam family "Bacterial small subunit ribosomal RNA", at positions 29 to 507 of the family's 1533-position model. The record is from RNAcentral.